GAUAAACGUUUGCGGUGCGCCUUAUGCAUGCAAGUUGUACGGGGUUAUGGUUUUCGGACUGUAACCUAGUGGCGAACGGCUGAGUAACACGUAAGUAACCUACCUCCAAGUGGGGGAUAACCUGUCGAAAGACAGACUAAUACCGCGUGUGGUAAUCAAGGAUUGCUUGGUUAUCAAAGCCUUAGGGCGCUUAGAGAGGGGCUUGCGUUUGAUUAGCUAGUUGGUAGGGUAAUGGCCUACCAAGGCAAUGAUCAGUAGCUGGUCUGAGAGGAUGUCCAGCCAGAUGGGGACUGAGAUACGGCCCUAACUCCUAUGGGAGGCAGCAGCAAGGAAUAUUGGGCAAUGGGCGAAAGCCUGACCCAGCGACACCGCGUGAGGGAAGAAGGCCUUCGGGUUGUAAACCUCUUUUCUCGAGGAAGAAUUUUGACGGUACUCGAGGAAUAAGUCUCGGCUAACUACGUGCCAGCAGCCGCGGUAAUACGUAGGAGGCGAACGUUAUUCGGAUUUACUGGGCGUAAAGAGAGCGUAGGUGGUUCCUUAAGUCAGGUGUGAAAUCUUCUGGCUCAACCAGGAGACGUCAUCUGAUACUGUGGAGCUUGAGGGCAGCAGAAGGAAAUGGAAUUCCCAGUGUAGCGGUGAAAUGCGUUGAUAUUGGGAAGAACACCAGUGGCGAAGGCGAUUUCCUAGGUUGUUCCUGACACUGAGGCUCGAAAGCGUGGGGAGCGAAGCGGAUUAGAUACCCGCAUAGUCCACGCCGUAAACGGUGGACACUAGAUAUGGGAAGUAUCGACCCUUUCCGUGUCGAAGCUAACGCUUUAAGUGUCCCGCCUGGGGAGUACGGCCGCAAGGCUA
Molecule: ribosomal RNA, 852 nt
Filed under: uncultured Chloroflexota bacterium
Lineage: Bacteria; Bacillati; Chloroflexota
Description: bacterial SSU rRNA
Rfam family: Bacterial small subunit ribosomal RNA
Source: RNAcentral